AUUGAACGCUGGCGGCAGGCCUAACACAUGCAAGUCGAACGGCAGCACAGAAGAGCUUGCUCUUUGGGUGGCGAGUGGCGGACGGGUGAGUAAUGUCUGGGAAACUGCCCGAUGGAGGGGGAUAACUACUGGAAACGGUAGCUAAUACCGCAUAACGUCGCAAGACCAAAGUGGGGGACCUUCGGGCCUCACACCAUCGGAUGUGCCCAGAUGGGAUUAGCUAGUAGGUGGGGUAAUGGCUCACCUAGGCGACGAUCCCUAGCUGGUCUGAGAGGAUGACCAACCACACUGGAACUGAGACACGGUCCAGACUCCUACGGGAGGCAGCAGUGGGGAAUAUUGCACAAUGGGCGCAAGCCUGAUGCAGCCAUGCCGCGUGUAUGGAGAAGGCCUUCGGGUUGUAAAGUACUUUCAGCGGGGAGGAAGGCGGUGAGGUUAAUAACCUCGCCGAUUGACGUUACCCGCAGAAGAAGCACCGGCUAACUCCGUGCCAGCAGCCGCCGUAA
RNAcentral lists this ribosomal RNA (506 nucleotides) under uncultured bacterium. Its description in RNAcentral is "partial 16S ribosomal RNA". It matches the Rfam family "Bacterial small subunit ribosomal RNA", at positions 30 to 523 of the family's 1533-position model. The record is from RNAcentral.